AUGGCAACGGAAAAUGAAAGCGAUUUUCACAUUUCAGAGACUGCUUCCAAAACCGAAAAGUCUAAAAAGGAGUUCGUGUGGAGCCAGCAGGCUACCUGGCUGCUCCUGCGCACGCGCCUCUCCAUGGACGCCGACUUCAACCGGCCCGUCUGCAAGAUGAAGAAGCUGUGGGCGACGGUGGCCGAAAGGGUGACGGCGAAGCUGCGGGAGCUGGGCGACGACGUCACCGUGAAGGCCCACGAGUGCGACAGCAAGUGGCGGAACAUGAUGUCGACGUACCGCAAGAACGCCGAGAGGGCGAAGAGACGGGGCGCUCAGAUCGUGCACUGGGAAUUCUUCCAGGCCAUGCAUGACGUUCUGGGCAAGGCCGCCGAUGACUCGGACGAGCAGAGGAACGGUCAGCUCAGCAAGAAGCUGGCGACCGUCAUGGCAAGUAAAAAAUUCACGCCAAUCCUUCCGACUCCUCCCCUGCCCCCCACGCCUUCCCCCUCCCCCGCGCCUUCGAGGCCCCCCCAGGACGUUCUACAGCUGUACCUCGAGCUGCAGGAGCGCAAGAUGGAUCUCUGGACCCAACAGAAGGAUCUCGAGGAGAGAAAGAUAGAAGCUAUAAAUAAUCUGGCCAGAGCCAUCUCUAGUCUGGCUGCUGAGCGCAGCUCCCACAGCGUCACCGGGGACAGUGGGUAGACGGCUCAUUGUAAAGAAUAGCUGUGAACGUUGGUACGUCUUCAGGUCAUUUUUCGAACCGCUUUCCACGGUCGAAAGGUCGUGGCAAUGCCGGCCGAAACCCUUGGAAAUGCCGCUUUCUGCAACGAGCAUGAAUGGCAGAAAGACCACGAAGGUACACACAUCAUUAAAUUUUCACCUCGUUCUUGCCUCUUGGAAUGAAAUCUCUAAUUAUUUUUGAUUGGACUGAUUUAGUUAGCUUGUCUACGACUCAUCUUGCAGCCAAGCGACUGAAAAUUGUCAUUUAACUGUUUCUUUUCAAGGUUUUCACCCUCAUGCCUUUGCGCACAGUAAACCGAUGACUGAAUAUUUCUGUGUCGCUGGAGUCAAAUGUGUGUCGCAAAAGUGACCGACGUCACAGCCUUCAAUAAAUCUUUUUAUUCAUAUGAAACA
RNAcentral lists this long non-coding RNA (1116 nucleotides) under Scleropages formosus (Asian bonytongue). Its description in RNAcentral is "lncRNA (ENSSFOG00015027037.1)". Lineage: Eukaryota; Metazoa; Chordata; Actinopteri; Osteoglossiformes; Osteoglossidae. The record is from RNAcentral.